GAAACAUCUUCGGGUUGUGAGGUUAAGCGACUAAGCGUACACGGUGGAUGCCCUGGCAGUCAGAGGCGAUGAAGGACGUGCUAAUCUGCGAUAAGCGUCGGUAAGGUGAUAUGAACCGUUAUAACCGGCGAUUUCCGAAUGGGGAAACCCAGUGUGAUUCGUCACACUAUCAUUAACUGAAUCCAUAGGUUAAUGAGGCGAACCGGGGGAACUGAAACAUCUAAGUACCCCGAGGAAAAGAAAUCAACCGAGAUUCCCCCAGUAGCGGCGAGCGAACGGGGAGCAGCCCAGAGCCUGAAUCAGUGUGUGUGUUAGUGGAAGCGUCUGGAAAGGCGCGCGAUACAGGGUGACAGCCCCGUACACAAAAAUGCACAUGCUGUGAGCUCGAUGAGUAGGGCGGGACACGUGGUAUCCUGUCUGAAUAUGGGGGGACCAUCCUCCAAGGCUAAAUACUCCUGACUGACCGAUAGUGAACCAGUACCGUGAGGGAAAGGCGAAAAGAACCCCGGCGAGGGGAGUGAAAAAGAACCUGAAACCGUGUACGUACAAGCAGUGGGAGCACGCUUAGGCGUGUGACUGCGUACCUUUUGUAUAAUGGGUCAGCGACUUAUAUUCUGUAGCAAGGUUAACCGAAUAGGGGAGCCGAAGGGAAACCGAGUCUUAACUGGGCGUUAAGUUGCAGGGUAUAGACCCGAAACCCGGUGAUCUAGCCAUGGGCAGGUUGAAGGUUGGGUAACACUAACUGGAGGACCGAACCGACUAAUGUUGAAAAAUUAGCGGAUGACUUGUGGCUGGGGGUGAAAGGCCAAUCAAACCGGGAGAUAGCUGGUUCUCCCCGAAAGCUAUUUAGGUAGCGCCUCGUGAAUUCAUCUCCGGGGGUAGAGCACUGUUUCGGCAAGGGGGUCAUCCCGACUUACCAACCCGAUGCAAACUGCGAAUACCGGAGAAUGUUAUCACGGGAGACACACGGCGGGUGCUAACGUCCGUCGUGAAGAGGGAAACAACCCAGACCGCCAGCUAAGGUCCCAAAGUCAUGGUUAAGUGGGAAACGAUGUGGGAAGGCCCAGACAGCCAGGAUGUUGGCUUAGAAGCAGCCAUCAUUUAAAGAAAGCGUAAUAGCUCACUGGUCGAGUCGGCCUGCGCGGAAGAUGUAACGGGGCUAAACCAUGCACCGAAGCUGCGGCAGCGACGCUGAUGCGUUGUUGGGUAGGGGAGCGUUCUGUAAGCCUGCGAAGGUGUGCUGUGAGGCAUGCUGGAGGUAUCAGAAGUGCGAAUGCUGACAUAAGUAACGAUAAAGCGGGUGAAAAGCCCGCUCGCCGGAAGACCAAGGGUUCCUGUCCAACGUUAAUCGGGGCAGGGUGAGUCGACCCCUAAGGCGAGGCCGAAAGGCGUAGUCGAUGGGAAACAGGUUAAUAUUCCUGUACUUGGUGUUACUGCGAAGGGGGGACGGAGAAGGCUAUGUUGGCCGGGCGACGGUUGUCCCGGUUUAAGCGUGUAGGCUGGUUUUCCAGGCAAAUCCGGAAAAUCAAGGCUGAGGCGUGAUGACGAGGCACUACGGUGCUGAAGCAACAAAUGCCCUGCUUCCAGGAAAAGCCUCUAAGCAUCAGGUAACAUCAAAUCGUACCCCAAACCGACACAGGUGGUCAGGUAGAGAAUACCAAGGCGCUUGAGAGAACUCGGGUGAAGGAACUAGGCAAAAUGGUGCCGUAACUUCGGGAGAAGGCACGCUGAUAUGUAGGUGAAGCGACUUGCUCGUGGAGCUGAAAUCAGUCGAAGAUACCAGCUGGCUGCAACUGUUUAUUAAAAACACAGCACUGUGCAAACACGAAAGUGGACGUAUACGGUGUGACGCCUGCCCGGUGCCGGAAGGUUAAUUGAUGGGGUCAGCGCAAGCGAAGCUCUUGAUCGAAGCCCCGGUAAACGGCGGCCGUAACUAUAACGGUCCUAAGGUAGCGAAAUUCCUUGUCGGGUAAGUUCCGACCUGCACGAAUGGCGUAAUGAUGGCCAGGCUGUCUCCACCCGAGACUCAGUGAAAUUGAACUCGCUGUGAAGAUGCAGUGUACCCGCGGCAAGACGGAAAGACCCCGUGAACCUUUACUAUAGCUUGACACUGAACAUUGAGCCUUGAUGUGUAGGAUAGGUGGGAGGCUUUGAAGUGUGGACGCCAGUCUGCAUGGAGCCGACCUUGAAAUACCACCCUUUAAUGUUUGAUGUUCUAACGUGGACCCGUAAUCCGGGUUGCGGACAGUGUCUGGUGGGUAGUUUGACUGGGGCGGUCUCCUCCUAAAGAGUAACGGAGGAGCACGAAGGUUGGCUAAUCCUGGUCGGACAUCAGGAGGUUAGUGCAAUGGCAUAAGCCAGCUUGACUGCGAGCGUGACGGCGCGAGCAGGUGCGAAAGCAGGUCAUAGUGAUCCGGUGGUUCUGAAUGGAAGGGCCAUCGCUCAACGGAUAAAAGGUACUCCGGGGAUAACAGGCUGAUACCGCCCAAGAGUUCAUAUCGACGGCGGUGUUUGGCACCUCGAUGUCGGCUCAUCACAUCCUGGGGCUGAAGUAGGUCCCAAGGGUAUGGCUGUUCGCCAUUUAAAGUGGUACGCGAGCUGGGUUUAGAACGUCGUGAGACAGUUCGGUCCCUAUCUGCCGUGGGCGCUGGAGAAUUGAGGGGGGCUGCUCCUAGUACGAGAGGACCGGAGUGGACGCAUCACUGGUGUUCGGGUUGUCAUGCCAAUGGCACUGCCCGGUAGCUAAAUGCGGAAGAGAUAAGUGCUGAAAGCAUCUAAGCACGAAACUUGCCCCGAGAUGAGUUCUCCCUGACUCCUUGAGAGUCCUGAAGGAACGUUGAAGACGACGACGUUGAUAGGCCGGGUGUGUAAGCGCAGCGAUGCGUUGAGCUAACCGGUACUAAUGAACCGUGAGGCUUAACCUU
Molecule: ribosomal RNA, 2924 nt
Filed under: Escherichia coli 3.2608
Lineage: Bacteria; Pseudomonadati; Pseudomonadota; Gammaproteobacteria; Enterobacterales; Enterobacteriaceae
Description: bacterial LSU rRNA
Rfam family: Bacterial large subunit ribosomal RNA
Source: RNAcentral